Molecule: long non-coding RNA, 562 nt
Filed under: Setaria viridis
Lineage: Eukaryota; Viridiplantae; Streptophyta; Magnoliopsida; Poales; Poaceae
Description: long non-coding RNA (SVIR_LNC006882)
Source: RNAcentral
UUUAUAGUGAAGAUCAUGUGAGACUUAAAGUCAAAUGCUAUGGUGUAGGUGAGGAGUUGCCAACGAGCUUGAAGGGUUUGAACGAGGGGCUUGGAGGGAACCUUCGGAAGGAAAUCCUUGCAGCGCAUGCGGAAGGCGCAGGUAGGUAUUACAAUCCUUAUAAUUUAUCUUUGGUUUGGGAAGAUAGGUCUGGAGCUUACAGGCAUUGUGCAGAGUCGGGUGGGGUGAGUGAGGUGUCGCCUGGUUUGAUCUGUGGGAGUGGGGUUGGAAUUGGGGUGGCCACGAAGGUGAAGGUUUUAGGCGGUGACGAAGGUGGUGGAGUUGUACUGAAAAGGACAGGUCCCACCUCCGUCGAGCCACGGGAUUACGAAGGUGGCUUAUGCUUUGUUGCUUGCUUCGUAGGUUGCAUUGUUUUGUUUUUUGCAGUUUGACACAUUGUCUUACAUCCCCAGACUUUCAGAAGUUUGCACGUUGCGUGAGUGACGCGGACCUUUUGUGUCCGGACUCCAACCUCGGGAAAAAGGUUACCUCUUGACUUCGCUUCCUUUAUACGAGUGGUUUG